AAAAAAUGGGUUGGGUGGGGUCAUUGAGUGCAAAAAAUAAAAUUUUCUUUUAAGGUAAGGUUGUUGUAUUUCAAAUGAAAGGUCGUAACGUGUACAUUUCAAAUAUCAGAUUCCUGUCCUCAAAAAAUGAGUUGGAUGGGGUAUUUAAGUGCAAAAAUAAAACUUUCUAGAACAUGGCCUUGUCGCAUAUCAAAUGAAAGAUCAUAAAGUCAAGAUUACAUAUAUCAUACUUCCGAUCUCGAAAAUUAAGGCGGAUGGGGGUCAUUAAGUGUAAAAAGCGAAAUGUUUCAGACGGUAUGCUUGUCGUAUAUCAAAUGAAAGGUCGUACAAAGUACAUUACGAAAACAUAACUUUAACAGGAAAGACCUUUCAAUUGUUUUACAAACAAUUGAGAUACUAGUUAAGGUCUUUCCACUCCGUUAGGAAAGACCUUAUUGUUUUUCUAAUGUUUUUUUUUUUCUUUUUUUUUUUAAGGUCUUUCCACUCCGUUAGGAAAGACCUUAUUGUUUUUCUAAUGUUUUUUUUUCUUUUUCUUUUUUUAAGGUCUUUCCACUCCGUUAGGAAAGACCUUAUUGUUUUUCUAAUGUUUUUUUUUUCUUUUUCUUUUUUUUCUUCCAACAUUUGUUUGACAUGCCCUACCCUCGUUUCUAUUAAAGUUAUCAAGACCAAAUUUGAACCACCGAUAGACCUCAUCAUGAAGUAUUACCAGAUGACCCUGUUAAGGAUUUCAUCAUCCCCUUUAGAAUUUAUCUCCCUUUUAUUGGUUUUUUUCGACAUGGCCCCCCC
Molecule: long non-coding RNA, 786 nt
Organism: Mytilus californianus (California mussel)
Lineage: Eukaryota; Metazoa; Mollusca; Bivalvia; Mytilida; Mytilidae
Exons: 3
Source: RefSeq, a predicted model, not a curated record